This 270-nucleotide ribosomal RNA is filed under the name uncultured bacterium. Its description in RNAcentral is "partial 16S ribosomal RNA". It matches the Rfam family "Bacterial small subunit ribosomal RNA", at positions 337 to 624 of the family's 1533-position model. The record is from RNAcentral.
UCCUACGGGGCGCAGCAGUGGGGGAUAUUGCACAAUGGGGGAAACCCUGAUGCAGCGACGCCGCGGGAGCGAUGAAGUAUUUCGGUAUGUAAAGCUCUAUCAGCAGGGAAGAAAAGGACGGGACCUGACUAAGAAGCCCCGGCUAACUACGUGGCAGCAGUCGCGGUAGUAAGUAGGGGGCAAGCAUUAUCCGGAUUUACUGGGUGUAAAGGGAGCGUAGACGGCAGUGCAAGUCUGAAGGGAAAGGCAAGGGCUCAAACCUUGGACUGC